UACGUAGGGCGCAAGCGUUGUCCGGAAUUACUGGGCGUAAAGCGUGCGCAGGCGGUUUUGUAAGUCCGUCGUGAAAGCCCCGGGCUCAACCUGGGAAUUGCGAUGGAGACUGCAAGGCUUGAAUCUGGCAGAGGGGGGUAGAAUUCCACGUGUAGCAGUGAAAUGCGUAGAGAUGUGGAGGAACACCGAUGGCGAAGGCAGCCCCCUGGGUCAAGAUUGACGCUCAUGCACGAAAGCGUGGGGAGCAAACAGG
This 253-nucleotide ribosomal RNA is filed under the name uncultured bacterium. Its description in RNAcentral is "partial 16S ribosomal RNA". It matches the Rfam family "Bacterial small subunit ribosomal RNA", at positions 524 to 776 of the family's 1533-position model. The record is from RNAcentral.